Molecule: transfer RNA, 71 nt
Filed under: Bivetiella cancellata
Lineage: Eukaryota; Metazoa; Mollusca; Gastropoda; Neogastropoda; Cancellariidae
Description: tRNA-Ile
Source: RNAcentral
GAUACUACGCCGGAUGAACGGAAAUCAUUGAUGUUGAUUAAUAUAGGAUAAAUAAUUAUUCCUUAGUAUUU